UAUGGCGACCGGCGCACGGGUGAGUAACACGUAUCCAACCUGCCGAUGCUCGGGGGAUAGCCUUUCGAAAGAAAGAUUAAUACCCGAUGGCAUAGUUCUUCCGCAUGGUAGAACUAUUAAAGAAUUUCGGUCAUCGAUGGGGAUGCGUUCCAUUAGGUUGUUGGCGGGGUAACGGCCCACCAAGCCUUCGAUGGAUAGGGGUUCUGAGAGGAAGGUCCCCCACAUUGGAACUGAGACACGGUCCAA
Molecule: ribosomal RNA, 246 nt
Filed under: uncultured bacterium
Lineage: Bacteria
Description: partial 16S ribosomal RNA
Rfam family: Bacterial small subunit ribosomal RNA
Source: RNAcentral